GACGAACGCUGGCGGCGUGCUUAACACAUGCAAGUCGAACGAUGAAGAAAAGAAUCGAAGCUUCGGCAGAAAUUCAUUUCGGAUUAGUGGCAGACGGGUGAGUAACGCUUGAGCAACCUACCUCUUACAAAGGGAUAGCCUCGGGAAACCGGGAUUAAUACCAUAUAACAUUGCGACGAAGCAUUUCGAUGCAAUCAAAGCUACGGCGGUAAGAGAUGGGCUCGCGUCCCAUUAACCGGAUGGUGAGGUAACGGCUCACCAUAGCGACGCUGGGUAACCGGGAUGAGAGAGUGAACGGUCACACUGGAGCUGAGACACGGUACAGACUCCUACGGGAGGCAGCAGUGGGGAAUAUUGCACAAUGGAGGGAACUCUGAUGCAGCGACGCCGCGUGAGUGAUGAAGGAAUUCGUUAAGUAAAACUCUGUUCUAUGGGAAGAAAAGGACGGUACCAUAGGAGAAAGCUCCGGCUAAAUACGUG
This 480-nucleotide ribosomal RNA is filed under the name uncultured bacterium. Its description in RNAcentral is "partial 16S ribosomal RNA". It matches the Rfam family "Bacterial small subunit ribosomal RNA", at positions 28 to 507 of the family's 1533-position model. The record is from RNAcentral.